This 75-nucleotide microRNA precursor is filed under the name Lytechinus variegatus (green sea urchin). RNAcentral's name for it is "mir-252 microRNA precursor family". It matches the Rfam family "mir-252 microRNA precursor family". Lineage: Eukaryota; Metazoa; Echinodermata; Echinoidea; Temnopleuroida; Toxopneustidae. The record is from Rfam by way of RNAcentral.
UUGCCAAUCUAAGUAGUAGUGCCGCAGGUACUGAUUUUAAAAGGCUUACCUGUACACGACUACUUAAAUUGGCAA